UACGUAGGGUGCAAGCGUUGUCCGGAAUUAUUGGGCGUAAAGAGCUCGUAGGCGGUUAGUCGCGUCUGCUGUGAAAACUCGGGGCUUAACUCCGGGCCUGCAGUGGGUACGGGCUGACUAGAGUGCGGUAGGGGAGACUGGAAUUCCUGGUGUAGCGGUGAAAUGCGCAGAUAUCAGGAGGAACACCGGUGGCGAAGGCGGAUCUCUGGGCCUUACCUGACGCUGAGGCGCGAAAGCUAGGGGAGCGAACAGG
RNAcentral lists this ribosomal RNA (253 nucleotides) under uncultured bacterium. Its description in RNAcentral is "partial 16S ribosomal RNA". It matches the Rfam family "Bacterial small subunit ribosomal RNA", at positions 524 to 776 of the family's 1533-position model. The record is from RNAcentral.